UCACUUGUCGAGUGUUUCUGCGCCGAAGAUGUAACGGGGCUAAGCAUAUUACCGAAUUUAUGGAUGAUACGCAAGUAUCGUGGUAGACGAGCGUUGUAUUCUGGGAUGAAGCCAAACCGUGAGGAUUGGUGGACUGAAUACAAGUGAGAAUGCCGGUGUAAGUAACGCUUGAGAGUGAGAAUCUCUCAAACCGAUUGACUAAGGUUUCCUGGACGAGGGUCGUCCUUCCAGGGUUAGUCUGGACCUAAGGUGAGGCUGAAAAGCGUAAUCGAUGGACAACAGGUUAAUAUUCCUGUACCGACAAUGCAACUGAUGGAGUGACGGAGAAGGUUAAUGGUUCCCUAUUAUCGGAUUUAGGGUUAAAUAACAAGACUUUGUGGUUGGCAAAUCCGCCACAUUUAAGGUCAAGUUAUGAAUACGAGCGAACGUUUCGGCAAGUAGCGAAGAAUCAUAUAUCACGCUUCCAAGAAAAACUUCUAGGGUUAAUUGCAUAGUU
Molecule: ribosomal RNA, 496 nt
Filed under: Metamycoplasma arthritidis
Lineage: Bacteria; Bacillati; Mycoplasmatota; Mycoplasmoidales; Metamycoplasmataceae
Description: bacterial LSU rRNA
Rfam family: Bacterial large subunit ribosomal RNA
Source: RNAcentral